Molecule: RNA transcript, 1455 nt
Organism: Solenopsis invicta (red fire ant)
Lineage: Eukaryota; Metazoa; Arthropoda; Insecta; Hymenoptera; Formicidae
Gene name: elongation of very long chain fatty acids protein AAEL008004-like
Exons: 4
Source: RefSeq, a predicted model, not a curated record
ACAAUAAAAGUCUAUGCAUACUCAAUGAAUGUGCACAAUCGGUUCCAAUCAUCACAUGAUUUCGACUAUUUUUCGAUACAAGGUAAACGAAUGUACUAGUUCACUGGUGAUAUUUUAUUGUAAACAAAGUAACGAUUCAUAAAAUCAACACAGCGCAAUCAUUUAUCAUGGAUAUCUUACUAAAUAUACAUAAUUCCUGGAAAGAGCUCGAUCCACGAACAAUCGAUCUACCAUUAGUUGCUUCUUCCUAUCAAGUACCACUUAUAAUAUUCGCAUAUCUGUACUUCGUGCUCGGCUGUGGACCUAAAUUCAUGAAGAACAGGCCGCCAUACAAAUUGAAAACAUUUAUACAGUUGUACAAUAUUAUUCAAAUUUUGGCAAAUGUGUGGCAAAUUUACGACAUAAUUGAGGCUGUUUGCAAGAAUUAUAUGGUAUUACUUUCUGUUAAAAAUAUGGGAUCUUGUCGAAACAGGAAUAUUUGUAUUAAGGAAGAAAAGUAACCAGGUAUCUGGUUUGCAUUUGUAUCACCACGUCUCUACGUUAAGUCUGAUAUGGAUCUGUAUAAGAUAUUACGCUGUUAGCCCCCUAUUGCUUUUCUGCAUAACCAACAACUUCGUACAUGUGAUAAUGUAUAUAUACUAUUUCUUAACAACUUGUGGACCGACCGUUCAAAAACCUGCUGCAUUUAUAAAACAAUGGAUAACUACAGUACAAAUGAUUCAAUUCGUAGUGCUAAUGAUGUAUUUAAUACAUCCAUUCAUAGUUGGCUGCAAAAUCGGGACAGAUCGUAAUGAUUGGCUCGUAUUAGUAAGCAUUAUAGAUAUAUCAAUAAAUUUGUUCAAUUUCCGUAAUUUCUAUCAAUCGUCAUACAAGAAAAGUAAAAAACUUAGUAGAUUAUAAAAUAUAAAUUGAAAAAGUAUUUUUCUACAAUAAAAAAUUCGAUGAAAUUAUUUUCGUUCUGUUGUCCUGUAUUGUAUAUGCAUAAUAUAUAAUAUAUUAAAUAAACAAAUAAAUAAAUAAAUAUAUAUACACACACAUACACACACCCACACACAGGGUAUCCCAAAAGUUCGGCAACUGUCAAAUAUCUCGAAACUAAGCAUUUUAGGAAAAAAUGUUUCAGACAAAAGUUGUAAAGUUUCAAAAGAUCUGUUUACUGAUCUUAUCAGUUUGACCUUGGAUGGCGUCGCCAAUGUCAGAUCAAAAUCACAUUAACUUUUUUAAAUAGAACACCCUACUUUUGAUUCCAGAAUCUAAUAGCUCGUGUCAAGACCUUUCCAAAACUUCCAAAGCAACUAUUCAAGGUCAAAUUGUUUGAUCAUAUUGUGACGUGACAGAUUUUUUCCCUCACCACUGUACAGGGUGUUGCAGAUACAUUUGGGACACACAAUUGAUUAGGCGUAAUGAAAUUUGUCAUGUAAAAUAAUCAUUAAAAUUAUUAAUUCUCUAAAAAAA